This 1882-nucleotide ribosomal RNA is filed under the name metagenome. RNAcentral describes it as "bacterial LSU rRNA". It matches the Rfam family "Bacterial large subunit ribosomal RNA", at positions 3 to 1977 of the family's 2925-position model. The record is from RNAcentral.
UCAAGCUACAAAGGGCGCAGGGCGAAUGCCUUGGCAUCAGAGGCCGAAGAAGGACGCGGUAAGCUGCGAAAAGCUGCGGGGAGUGGCAAGCACACAUCGAUCCGCAGGUGUCCGAAUGGAGCAAUCCGGCAGGGGUAAUAUCCUGUCACCGUACGGUGAAUACAUAGCCGUGCGGGGGGAACCGCCUGAACUGAAACAUCUAAGUAGGGCGAGGAAAAGAAAUCAAACGAGAUUCCGUGAGUAGUGGUGAGCGAAAUCGGAAGAGGCUAAACCAAAGGUAGAAAUACCUCUGGGGUUAUGGACUGCAUAACGCAUGAGAAUUGGUAGUCGAAGGGCAUGGGAAGGCCCACCAGAGAGUGUGAGAGUCACGUAGACGGCAUCGAUUCGAAGCCGGCAGGAUCCAGAGUACCGCGGAGCACGUGGAAUUCCGUGGGAAGUCGGGGGGACCACCCUCCAAGCCUAAAUACCAUCUGAUGACCGAUAGCGAAUAGUACUGUGAAGGAAAGGUGAAAAGCACCCCGGGAGGGGAGUGAAAGAGAACCUGAAACCCUGUGCCUACAAGCACCUAGAGCACGUCAAAGUGUGAUAGGGUACUUUUUGUAGAACGGUCCGGCGAGCGAUUGUACGCAGCAAGGUUAAGGUCUUCAGGACUGGAGCCGAAGCGAAAGCAAGUUUGAAAAGGGCGUUAAGUUGCGUGCAAUGGGCCCGAAACCGGGUGACCUACCCAUGAUCAGGCUGAAGUGGAAGUAAAAUUCCAUGGAGGGCCGAACCGACCUCCGUUGAAAAGGCGGCGGAUGAAUUGUGGGUAGCGGAGAAAUUCCAAUCGAACCCGGAUAUAGCUGGUUCUCCCCGAAAUAGCUUUAGGGCUAGCCUCGAAUGUAGAUUUCUGGAGGUAAAGCACUGAACGGCCUAGGGGGCGAAAGCCUACCGAAGCCUAUCAAACUCUGAAUGCCAGAAAAUUUUGUUCGGGAGUCAGACUGUGUGAGAUAAGUUUCAUGGUCAAAAGGGAAACAGCCCAGAUCCACAACUAAGGUCCCUAAUUACGUUUAAGUGGGAAAGGAUGUGGAAUCGCUAAAACAACCAGGAUGUUGGCUUAGAAGCAGCCAUACAUUUAAAGAGUGCGUAAUAGCUCACUGGUCGAGUGGUUCUGCGCCGAAAAUUUAACGGGGCUAAAACGUAAACCGAAGUUUGGGCAGUAUAGAUUUAUACUGGGUAGGGGAGCGUCGAAUAAUGGGGUGAAGCAUGAGCGGAAGCGCGUGUGGACUUUAUUCGAGUGAGAAUGCCGGAAUGAGUAGCGCGAAUUAUGUGAGAAUCAUAAUGGCCGAAAGUCUAAGGUUUUAGGAGGAAGGUUCGUCCGCUCCUAGUAAGCCGGGAGCUAAGGUGAGGCCGAGAGGCGUAGCCGAUGCACAUAAUGUUGAAAUUCAUUAGCCUCCAAAAGAUUUAAGCAGAGGGAAGCCCUUGAAGGGACUGAGCCGGGCGUUGGUAGACCCGGUCGUAAGGGAGCGAAAUUAAGUAGCGAAGCAGUCAUGGAAGGGGACGAGAAAAGCUCUGUGUAUAUCUUCGGAGCCCGUACCGCAAACCGACACAGGUAGACAGGAAGAGGAUUCUAAGGCCAACGGGAGAAGGGUUGUUAAGGAACUCGGCAAGUUGACCCCGUAACUUCGGAAUAAGGGGUGCUCACGAGAGUGAGCCGCAGAGAAUAGGCCCAGGCAACUGUUUAUCAAAAACACAGGUCUCUGCUAAAUCGAAAGAUGACGUAUAGGGGCUGACACCUGCCCGGUGCCGGAAGGUUAAGAGGAGAAGUGAGAGCUUUGAAUUGAAGCCCCGGUAAACGGCGGCCGUAACUAUAACGGUCCUAAGGUAGCGAAAUUCCUUGUCAGGU